UUCCGACCAUCAAUUAUUCCCAACAGCAAACAAAUUCCCACAGCACCACUAUCAAAAACCUCCACAUCUGUACAGCCCCACAAAAAAAUAAAAUGAACUACUCACAGAAGGGAAACCCCAAUAAUUACCUACACCAGACAACCAACGCAACACAUCCCAAUCUGCCAACUGUCACCACCACCAAGCCAGCUAUCCCUCCAUCAGCUGUCGGCGAAAAUCUCCCGAUCUCGCCGUCGCCGGAGCAGAUCAUACGGCGCCCACAGCGCAUCCAGCGGGCAAGCCCGCCCCGCAUCCAGCCGCAGCCACGGCUUUCCCUUGCCACUCCAAUGCAGCAAGCUCACCGGGCCCGGGUGCAGAUCCCUGCACAGCCCCUCUACAUUAUCCCCGCCAAGCCCGUGCUGGUUCCACCGGUGCUCCACACCUUUCACCUCACCAGCAAAAACCAGCAGAAACGGCGGUAGCGAGCCCAGCUCGUAAAUCCGCGCCUCCCACUUCUGCACACUCAUCCAGUAAUCGAGCUGGCGGGUGUACCCGCCGGCACGCCAUUUAGUCAGAUCCAUCACCAUAACACCGGUGUUGAAAUAACAGGAUUCUCUAGAUCUAGAAUCGAAAACUCGCGGAUACUCCGGAUCGGACCAGAAUCUUGAGGUGAAAUAGGAGGUAAAAUUGGCGUGGCAGUACUCCGGCGCGCCGAGGACGUGGGGACCGAGAUCGAUCUCCCAGAGCUUAGCGACAUCGUCGACGACGACGAGGUCAGAGUCGAAGUAAAUGACGCGGCGGACGGCCGGGGGGAGGAGGUCGGCGAGGUAGAUGCGGGCGUAGUUGAGGGGCUGGUCGAGGGCGCGGCGGACGGAGGAGGAGAUCUUGUUGCGGACGAGCGCGGCGUCGAAGCGGUAGGUGUGGAAGGGGAGGGAGGGGAAGGAGGCGGCGACGGCGCGGCGGAGGCGGCGAGGGGCGGUGGCGAGGAAGUGGAAGUGGAUGGAUUCCGGGCAGGCGGCGUGCUGGAGGACGGAGAGGACGCCGGCGAGGGAGCCGCGGAGGUAGGUGGCGUCGAGAGUCAUGGCGAUGUGGAUGGAGGGGGAGGAUGGGCAGUGGAGGGCGUUGCGGAAGGCGGGAGCCUCGCGGAACGGCGGGAGGGGAGGCGGCGGCGCCGCCGUGGCGGCGAGGAGGAGGAUGGGGAGGAGGAGGAGGCCGCCGGGGGGCGGCAUUGGUG
This 1213-nucleotide unclassified non-coding RNA is filed under the name Hevea brasiliensis (rubber tree). Lineage: Eukaryota; Viridiplantae; Streptophyta; Magnoliopsida; Malpighiales; Euphorbiaceae. The record is from RNAcentral.